GACAGAGGUGCCGAGCGUUAGGCGGAAUCACUGGGCUUAAAGCGUGUGUAGGCGGAUCGUUAAGUGUCUUGUGAAAUCCCCCGGCUCAACCGGGGAACGGCUGGGCAUACUGGCGAUCUUGAGCGGCCUAGGGGCAGAUGGAACAGACGGUGGAGCGGUGAAAUGCGUAGAUAUCGUCUGGAACGCCAAAGGUGAAAACAGUCUGCUGGGGGCCUGCUGACGCUGAGACACGAAAGCCAGGGGAGCGAACGGG
RNAcentral lists this ribosomal RNA (253 nucleotides) under uncultured bacterium. RNAcentral's name for it is "partial 16S ribosomal RNA". It matches the Rfam family "Bacterial small subunit ribosomal RNA", at positions 524 to 776 of the family's 1533-position model. The record is from RNAcentral.